Long non-coding RNA from Ipomoea nil (Japanese morning glory), 171 nucleotides. RefSeq lists it as uncharacterized. The transcript has 2 exons. The record is from RefSeq and is a predicted model, not a curated record. Lineage: Eukaryota; Viridiplantae; Streptophyta; Magnoliopsida; Solanales; Convolvulaceae.
UAUAUAUAUAUAUAUAUAUAUAUAUAUAUAUAUAUAUAUAGAGGGAAGGGACUGUGAUGAAUGCCUUCUCAUUUCUCCAUUUUCCUCCUUGGAAACAAAUUUCUUUCGUUUCUAUGCUAUAUGUCAAGAAGAAUUCUUCUUUUCUUAGUGAUUCAUAUUUGGUCUUAUUCA